UCAUUCCAACAAACAAUAUAUUUCCGUUUUUCUCUAUCCCUUUCAACUAAAUAAUUUUUGGCAUAAUUAAAAGUUUUUGUGAUCUGGAACAAGAGAUCAUCGCGGAUUUGCGGAUUUCAAGUUAAGCGUUUUGUACGAGGUCAUUAUGAAGGCGAUUUGUCUUAGGGUUCGGAGAAGUGGACGAAGGUUUUGCGACUUGAUUUUCAUCUUGCUAGGAAACCCUUUAGUGGCUUCUCUAAUGGUGGUUCUUAAUUCAAGAUGGAGACGCUGAUCCCUGCUGCACUAACAAGUUCCAAGUUCACAAAAAUAAAAAAAAAAAAAUCAAAAGAGAAAGAAGAUUGAGCACUCACUGAUUAACAUAAAUAUGUCUGUCUUUUUAUAUAUCUGAUAACUCCUUUGUGGUUUUCUUGACAUUUGGUCGGUGUCAGUGAUUUGUAGUGUCUGGGUUUGAAGAAUCUUCGGAAUACAUAUUUUCUGAAUUCUGUAUUGCAAUUUUUGACAUACACUGAGUGCUUAGAUGCUUACUUUCUAGAUGUUGGCAAUGUGAAACGUUGUAUGUUGCAUUUGGAAGCUGGUUUGAUUAAUUGCUUGGCUUGAGGCAUGCUAGGACGGUCCUUCAAGCUCCUGGCAGAAUAGCAGCACCAAGUCUCAAACUUUGGAGCUUUCCUCUGAUGUUAAAGAGCAGGAAACUUCAGCAGUUGAUUACACAGCAGGGGACAUGAUCUUUUUCUACUGUGAUUCCCCAUACCUCCAAGGUUCUAUCUGAAGUAGAAGAGAGUGAUAGGACAGGAAAUUACAUGAAAAGAGGAUGAUGAAGAAGAUGAGCAUGAUGAAGAACAUUUUCACUAACCUGGGGUAGAAGAACUAAAUUAUAAAACAUCAUAGAGUUUUACCUCUAUCGACUAAGCUGUGGAAAGUCUGUAAACAUGAACAUGUUUGGUUUGACCAAUUCGGUGACAUUUGUCCAUGGCUUGCAAGGCCAUUCGAGAGUUUUGUAUCAGGAAC
Molecule: long non-coding RNA, 1005 nt
Organism: Brassica oleracea var. oleracea
Lineage: Eukaryota; Viridiplantae; Streptophyta; Magnoliopsida; Brassicales; Brassicaceae
Exons: 3
Source: RefSeq, a predicted model, not a curated record